CCCUAUGGGGUGCAGCAGGCGAGAAAACUUUGCAAUGUGCGAAAGCACGACAAGGUUAAUCCGAGUGGUUUCUGCUAAAGGAACCUUUUGUCAGUCCUAGAAACACUGAUGAAUAAGGGGUGGGCAAGUUCUGGUGUCAGCCGCCGCGGUAAAACCAGCACCUCAAGUGGUAAGGAUGAUUAUUGGGCCUAAAGCAUCCGUAGCCUGCUUUGUAAGUUUUCGGUUAAAUCCAUACGCUCAACGUAUGGGCUGCCGGGAAUACUGCAAAGCUAGGGAGUGGGAGAGGUAGACGGUACUCGGUAGGAAGGGGUAAAAUCCUUUGAUCUAUUGAUGACCACCUGUGGCGAAGGCGGUCUACCAGAACACGUCCGACGGUGAGGGAUGAAAGCUGGGGGAGCAAACCGGAUUAGAUACCCGGGUAGUCCCAGCUGUAAACUAUGCAAACUCAGUGAUGCAUUGGCUUGAUGCCAAUGCAGUGCUGCAGGGAAGCCGUUAAGUUUGCCGCCUGGGAAGUACGUACGCAAGUAUGAACUUAAAGGAAUUGGCGGGGGAGCACCACAAGGGGUGAAGCCUGCGGUUCAAUUGGAGUCACGCCAGAAAUCUACCGGAGAGACAGCAGAAUGAAGGUCAGCUGAGGACUUACCAGACAGCUGAGAGGUGGUGCAUGGGCCAAGGGCGAAUUCA
This 684-nucleotide ribosomal RNA is filed under the name uncultured marine group I thaumarchaeote. RNAcentral describes it as "bacterial SSU rRNA". It matches the Rfam family "Archaeal small subunit ribosomal RNA", at positions 321 to 1017 of the family's 1478-position model. The record is from RNAcentral. Lineage: Archaea; Thermoproteati; Nitrososphaerota.